This 2094-nucleotide ribosomal RNA is filed under the name Triticum aestivum (bread wheat). RNAcentral's name for it is "partial small subunit ribosomal RNA". Lineage: Eukaryota; Viridiplantae; Streptophyta; Magnoliopsida; Poales; Poaceae. The record is from RNAcentral.
AUGAGCAUAUUUCAUGAAACAGGGUCACUGCACGCUAAAGCAAUGGCUCAGGGGCCGCUGGACCUCUGGAAUCAUUGGUCAAUCCAGAUCCUAGUGCUCUUCAGCCUCGCUCUCCAGGUUUUCCUCUUUGUCUUCGCCAGAAUCCGUCAACGUGGAACCAACCCUCUGCUGAGGAUCCUGCUGUGGUUGGCUUACAUGCUGGCUGACUCCACCGCGAUAUAUGCCCUCGGCCACCUCUCUCUCAGCAGGAGCAGCAAAGGGCUCGAUCAAGAGCAGCUCGUCGCUUUCUGGGCGCCGUUCCUCUUGCUGCACCUAGGUGGCCCGGACAGCAUAACUGCCUACGCCCUCCAGGACAACCAGCUCUGGUUGCGCCACCUGCAGAUUCUCGUCGUGCAGGUCCUCGGAGCAGGCUAUGUUCUGUACAAACGCAUUGCUGACAACGGGUUCUUUGUCAUGCUGGCCUCUAUCCUAAUGUUAGCUGUAGGUUUUGUCAAGUAUGUGGAGCGGACAUGGGCUCUCCAGCGCGGGAACAUGGAUACCAUCCGGAGCUCUCUCAAGAAUGAGCCACAUGUCAAACAUCAUCAGUUCCAUGCUCUGGAUCAAGGGUUCAGAGAGGGGGCCGCCAACGAGGAAGAACUCUAUGUGCGUCGUGCUCACUCCAUGUUCCACGUAUGCAAGCGUGCCAUAGUUGAUUCUUGGAUUGAAAAGGAUUCAGAAAACCAUGGUGGUGAGAUGCUUAGAGACAUUAGAAACGAAGACUACAAAGGUAUGUGGACAUUGAUGGAGGUGGAGCUCUCCCUGCUGUAUGACAUCUUGUAUACCAAGGCGGCCGUGAUCCACACUUGGCCUGGCUAUGGCAUCCGUGUUGUCUCACCACUUGCCACUGUCGCCUCCUUCCUGUUGUUCCACUUCAGUGUCAAAGAUAGUCACGGUAGAGUUGAUGUUGCUAUCACAUACACCUUGCUGUCUGGGGCCUUCCUCCUGGAGAUGGCAUCGUUGUUGAUCGCGCUAGGGUCGUGUUGGACAUACGCCUUCUUGUGCACAACACGUUGGAGCUGGCUCCGUUACACUGCUUUGUGCACUGGAAGGUGGGAUCAGCUUCGUCAGCUUGUCAAGAAGUUCACAAGAAGGCAAGUUGGUGGUCAGGCAAGGAGGUGGUCCGGUGAAAUGGGGCAGUACAACAUGCUGCACUUUUGCAGCCGUCACGACACAGUCUUCAGUCCUCUUGUCGGUAGAUUGGCGAAGUUGUGGGGACAAAAUGAGUUGUGGAACAGAAAGCAUUACUCGGGGAGCAUUCAGAUUACAGAUGAGCUGAGGCUGUGGUUGCACCGGUACAUAGAAAGAUUUUCAAGGAGAAACAAGGUGAACACGCAAGGCAUGCUCAGGACUAAUUGGGGUGCAGAGGCAUUGCAGCAUUAUGGUUGCUUUGAUGAUUUCAAAGGCUACCUUGGAGUUGAGCUCCAAGAGGGCAUCAUUAUCUGGCACAUUGGCACUGAUGUUUUCCUUGCUAGAAGUAGUCGAUCCAAGGCUUAUGAUGCAGCCCAGGAGCAAGUGGUGAAGAGCAUUAGGACACUGUCCAAUUACAUGAUGUUUCUCCUAGUUGAGCGACCCGACAUGCUACCCGGCCUUGCUCAGACGAGGCUGUACCAGCAGACCUGCCAGAAUUUGGUUGACAUGUGGCGUAAGUCUGAGCCCUCAAGUCGCAGUGGUCCAACCAAGAAUUUCCGUACUAUGCUCAAGGAGUUAUUCCGCAUCCGUGACGACCCCAAUACUUCUCGGCUGUCGGAAAGAGACAAGCUUGCUAUCACCCUCUACAACGAGAAGCCACGCUACAGCACAGAUGUUCCUCGCCUCUGUUAUGCCAACUGGGUCACUGAAGCGCUGCUCAAAAGAGAAGAGGAGAAAGGCAGCGUGUCCGUCUUGGAACUAGUCCUACGUGUGUGGAUGGAUUUUCUAUUCUACACUGCCAAUAGAUGCAGCAGGGAAUCCCAUGCCAAGAAGCUCAGCAGUGGCGGUGAGUUGACAACCAUCUUGUGGCUAAUGGCAGACUACUUUCACAAACAUACCGUCCUCAAUGCACCAGAGGAGGUUUGA